AGUGAGGCUUUCGGACUGAUCUAGGGCGGGGUUCAUUCGCCGCCUCUGGUCGGAAAGUUAUCCAAACUCGGUCAUUUAGAGGAAGUAAAAGUCGUAACAAGGUCUCCGUUGGUGAACCAGCGGAGGGAUCAUUACUGAGUUUACGCUCUACAACCCUUUGUGAACAUACCUAUAACUGUUGCUUCGGCGGGUAGGGUCUCCGCGACCCUCCCGGCCUCCCGCCUCCGGGCGGGUCGGCGCCCGCCGGAGGAUAACCAAACUCUGAUUUAACGACGUUUCUUCUGAGUGGUACAAGCAAAUAAUCAAAACUUUUAACAACGGAUCUCUUGGUUCUGGCAUCGAUGAAGAACGCAGCGAAAUGCGAUAAGUAAUGUGAAUUGCAGAAUUCAGUGAAUCAUCGAAUCUUUGAACGCACAUUGCGCCCGCCAGCAUUCUGGCGGGCAUGCCUGUUCGAGCGUCAUUUCAACCCUCAAGCUCUGCUUGGUGUUGGGGCCCUACAGCCGAUGUAGGCCCUCAAAGGUAGUGGCGGACCCUCCCGGAGCCUCCUUUGCGUAGUAACUUUACGUCUCGCACUGGGAUCCGGAGGGACUCUUGCCGUAAAACCCCCCAAUUUUCCAAAGGUUGACCUCGGAUCAGGUAGGAAUACCCGCUGAACUUAAGCAUAUCAAUAAGCGGAGGAAAAGAAACCAACAGGGAUUGCCUCAGUAACGGCGAGUGAAGCGGCAACAGCUCAAAUUUGAAAUCUGGCCCCAGGCCCGAGUUGUAAUUUGCAGAGGAUGCUUUUGGUGCGGUGCCUUCCAAGUUCCCUAGAACGGGACGCCAGAGAGGGUGAGAGCCCCGU
This 841-nucleotide ribosomal RNA is filed under the name Colletotrichum gloeosporioides. Its description in RNAcentral is "eukaryotic LSU rRNA". The stretch from base 623 to 841 matches the Rfam family "Eukaryotic large subunit ribosomal RNA", at positions 1 to 224 of the family's 3401-position model. The record is from RNAcentral. Lineage: Eukaryota; Fungi; Ascomycota; Sordariomycetes; Glomerellales; Glomerellaceae.